Non-coding RNA from Coffea arabica (coffee), 1700 nucleotides. The record is from RefSeq and is a predicted model, not a curated record. Lineage: Eukaryota; Viridiplantae; Streptophyta; Magnoliopsida; Gentianales; Rubiaceae.
AAAUCUUCAGCAGCGCUUCCUUAUUUUUGUCAGUUUGCAGCUUCGUUGGGUGAUGGCGAUUGGAGAAGCUGGUAUUGAAAUUCUCGGGAGUGUGUUGUGGGCAUCAUUUCUAGCUCAAAGUUUGAGAUUUUUGGUUAAGGAGAGAAAAGGUAAGAAGAAUCAGCAGCGAUGGCGGUGCCUUUGCUUUCGAAGAAGACAACGAAGAAAAGGGUUAACAAGUUCAAGCAACCCCAGAGUGACCGAAAAAUUUCCAUCAAGCUCUUGGAAUCGUCUUGCAAAAGUAGAAUUUGCUGUUCAUGGGAUUGACUAUGAAGGCCAUGCAAAGUCAUUGGUUUUGUUAAAGCUUCAAAACCUGUGGUAUUGUUGUUCCUUUGAAUUUUGAGUAAUUAUGGGCUUAAAUUUUAUAGCACUGGUUUUUCAUGGCUCUAUUUGAAAGCCACUUAAAACCCAUUAAAGAUGUCUGCUUUGCAGAACGUUGUUCAUGGGAUUAGUAUACAUUUGAAGUAUUUAUCAGGAUAUGAAAGAAUUCAUUUCUCUUUUGUAUGAGGUGUGCUUGAUUUUUAUAACUCCGUAUAUUUGUUGCUGCCUAUUCACUGAAAAAAGGAAAUAGAUGGUACCUUAGUUGUUCUAAGUAUGUCUUCAGCUAUGGUGAAUUAAAUGCUAUAGGUUUUCUCCUGUGACUUUUCCUUUCCUUUGUUUUUUCUUUGUUAUAUGUUCUCUUGCAUACUGUACUUUGUUGAUGUUGUUCUUGGCGUUUUAUGAUUUAGGUUAUUUUACUGAUUUUUCAUCCUGGCCUUGUGCAUUAGUCUUCGGAAUCUACGGUGGAGUACAAAACGUGAAUGCCCAUAGAAGCUACGAGUGUAGUUAUUAGCAUUAUUAAAGAUAAUGGAUUUGGAGUUUGGAGUAGUUGAGGAGAGCUUGAAGACUUUUUUUGGGUUAGCUGCAGAUAGAAUUUGGAAUCCUCGAUAGAAUUGUCUACAAAAAUAAGAAUCAGCAUCGAAGGUGCUCUUAUUUUCAGUACCUGCUUAAGGUUAGACGGGAUUUGAGGCUUCUGCAAUCAGCAAAGUUGGAGGAAAUCUUGAAUUCCUGCUUUCUGGUAAUCCAUGGCAAAGGGCCUAAACAAAAACUGUAGCUUUUGGAAAGUCUGAAGCGGAGAAGGUGUGAUGGUGGCAAAUAUAACUUUUUGGAAAAGCUUCUUGGAGUUGUACGUUUACUAUCAAAGUAUUAUUCAUCUUCAUUUCAAUGGGAACUCACUGCUCUAAAUUAGGCUUUUGCUGAGAAAUGUGGAGAAAAUGCGAGGAUGAAACUGCCAGCAUUUAAAGAAUGCAGUUUAGAUGAGCUAAAGAUGGCACCUUCAAGAUUCUCAAUUGAAAACAUUGUAUCAGAACAUGGAGAUAGAGCUCGCAAUGUUGUCUACAAAGGGCAGCUUGAAGAUGACGCCUCUUGGAUUGCUGUCAAACAUUUCAAUAAGUUAACCAUGAGUACGGUGGAUGUUAUUCAGAUUUAAGAUUUGUUGUAUGCAAUUUGUAGGUUGAUAAGCGAGGAAACUUAUUGCAGGCUGAUGUGAUUUGAGACAUUGAUUAUACGGUUGUUAUGCCAUUUGAAUUGUACCUUUGUUUACAAUCAAAUAGGAUGAAGUAUUUUGUUUCUACCAAAUGGGAUGAAGUCGCUUUCAUUUUUUUUCUUACUCACUUUGGCUU